CACAAAUAAGCAAACUGGAAAUAACAUUGAUAUAAAAAGCAGAACUGUUCACAUUGCCUGUACAUUCUGAGUUCAAUAUAGACAUCAAGCUCUCUGUGUGUUAAGCAUUGCAGUGCGAAGGCAUCUUUUGAAAUGAAUUGGUUAAUCGUCUGCUGUUUGAUGUGCUUGACCUUCACCUUGUCCACACAGCAAGAAAUGGAUUGCUUAGACAAAGGAGUAUUUUACCCGAAUGGCUACAGAUUCCAACCGAACCCGUGUACAACUUGUUACUGCACCGACGGGAAAUACGACUGUUCCACUAUCGCGUGUGGCUGGCCCAGGUGUAAAGGAAAUGCAAGGCCUUCCGUAAAGAAAGGCCACUGCUGUCCAUCGUGUCCUUAGAUAAGAGACUGUGGUAUCGGCCACUUUUAAUCUACUGUAAUAUUUGUAUGGUUGUAUGAUUAGCAAUAUGAAGAUAAAUUAAAAUUGUCAAUGUAAAUGUU
Long non-coding RNA from Biomphalaria glabrata, 482 nucleotides. RefSeq lists it as uncharacterized. NCBI's taxonomy places the organism in Eukaryota, Metazoa, Mollusca, Gastropoda, Planorbidae. The transcript has 3 exons. The record is from RefSeq and is a predicted model, not a curated record.